CUACGGGAGGCUGCAGUGAGGAAUAUUGCACAAUGGGGGGAACCCUGAUGCAGCAACGCCGCGUGGAGGAUGACGCAUUUCGGUGUGUAAACUCCUUUUAUAUGUCAAGAAAAUGACGGUAGCAUAUGAAUAAGCACCGGCUAACUCCGUGCCAGCAGCCGCGGCAAUACGGAGGGUGCAAGCGUUACUCGGAAUCACUGGGCGUAAAGGACGCGUAGGCGGGCUUGUAAGUCAGGUGUGAAAUCCUACAGCUUAACUGUAGAACUGCACUUGAAACUACGAGCCUAGAGUAUGGGAGGGGCAGAUGGAAUUAGUGGUGUAGGGGUAAAAUCCGUAGAUAUCACUAGGAAUACCUAAAGCGAAGGCGAUCUGCUGGAACAUAACUGACGCUAAGGCGUGAAAGCGUGGGGAGCAAACAGGAUUAGAUACCCGGGUAGUC
Molecule: ribosomal RNA, 439 nt
Filed under: uncultured bacterium
Lineage: Bacteria
Description: partial 16S ribosomal RNA
Rfam family: Bacterial small subunit ribosomal RNA
Source: RNAcentral